This 377-nucleotide unclassified non-coding RNA is filed under the name uncultured Actinomycetes bacterium. RNAcentral's name for it is "uncultured actinobacterium contains 16S-23S intergenic spacer region". Lineage: Bacteria; Bacillati; Actinomycetota; Actinomycetes. The record is from RNAcentral.
UCCGGUUUAUCACCGGCAGUCUCCACAGAGUCCUCGGCUUUACCCGUUAGUAACUGUGAACAAGGGUUGCGCUCGUUGCGGGACUUAACCCAACACCUCACGGCACGAGCUGACGACAGCCAUGCAGCACCUGUGCCGGCUCCCGAAGGAGCACCGUGUUUCCACGGUUUCACCCGGCAUGUCAAGCCCUGGUAAGGUUCUUCGCGUUGCGUCGAAUUAAGCCACAUGCUCCGCCGCUUGUGCGAGCCCCCGUCAAUUCCUUUGAGUUUUAGCCUUGCGGCCGUACUCCCCAGGCGGGGUGCUUAAUGCGUUAGCUGCGGCACAAAAAAAAUUGAUGCUCCCCACACCUAGCACCCAACGUUUACGGCUGGGACUAC